GUGUGAACCAUUUGAGGUGUCACAUUUAGGACACUAGGCUGUUGAGCUCCAUGGAAUCAAGCACCAAUAAAGAGGUAUGUAAUUCUACUAGUUUUUAUAUUAUAUGUACUUUAUAUUAUGCUAGUUAGAACAAUACCUUGGAAAAUUGCUAUUUGCAUGUAUAAUAGAGAAAACAUAGAUCCAAGGUAUUUAGGGUUGCAUGUACACCAUAGGAGUGUUAGAAUGCUCAAAACCCAACAGUGGUAUCAGAGCCUAGGCUUGUUUUCAAAUAUACAUGAUGCUAUUUGCAAGAAAAAUCGUUUUUUUUGGAAUCUGCCAGUUCACCACGAGGUGGUGACUGUUCAGUGAAAAAAAAAACAUUUUUUGGCCUGUUUUGGAUUAGAAUCAUUACCACAAAGUGUUUUUGGUCAUAAAACUUGAUUUUGAUGUUAUGAUAAUGUUUAUUCCCAUCCAAAUGAAUGAUAAUUGUCAAAGUUUCAAGACGUUUUUUUAGUUUAUGUGAUCGGCUAAGUUCUUGAAAAUUGUUGAUAUGAAUUAUCUUGUUCUUAUGAGUUGUUUUAGAUUAAUAGAAAACUUAUAUGAAAUUGUUGAUAUGGAUUGUUCAUGCUUAUGAGUUUUGGCAGAUCAUAGGAAUUAUUUACAAAAGGUGUUUGUUAGUUAAUUCUUGAUCUAAAUGUAUUUUAAUGGAGUCCAUAAUUUGUCCUCAAAUUAUGGAUUACCAAAAGUUUUUGUGUUACCUUGUUUAUGAGUUGAUUUAGAUUAAUAAAAAAAAUUAUGUGUUAGUUGUUUUCAAUCCAUAUUGAUCUAAAAGAAGUUCAUAAAAUAUGUUUUUGUAACUUGUCUUCAAGUUAUAUGAAAAGUCAUAUUUAUGAAUCUUAAAACUCAUAAUUAUUCCCAAAGGUUACACAAAAAUGAAGAGUCUAUUUCAUUAAAUUGUUUUAUGACUCCAUAACUUGUCCUCAAGUUAUGGAUGUUUAAGAGUCACUUCUUUAAAAGUGUUAUUAAAGAAUAAGAGGUUACAUUAAAAUGAAGAGUCUUCAUUUUAAUGAACCAUUAAACUCAUAAGUUAUGAAAUGAAAAGUCUUGAAUAGUUUCAAAACUUGCCCUCAAGUUUUGGAAUUUGUAAAGUUACCCCCUCAUGUACACUUUAAUUCCAAAUUGAACCUUAGAAUUUUAAAAAGUUUAAAAUUCAACACUUAUACUAUUCUUAUAAUUUUAAUUAUAUAGAUAUGUAUAAGAUAAAGUCAAACUUACCAUUAUUAGGUCUCAUUCACGAAGCCGGUCUAUAAGGGGGGUAUAAGGUUACUGCCAAUAAAAUGGCAGUUUAAUGGGUGACCACUCUCACCCACCGUGUCCUUGACUGGUGGAGGGUCAUUAGUCGAACGGGUAGGAAAGGACUAUAAUUCUCCCUUCAUUAAAAGUAUAAUGAUAAAUACUAAGUAACUAAACACUUAUAAAUUCCCAAUCUUAGUUACUUAGGAAAAUGUGAAAAGGUGCUAACCCAUGAAAUUACACUUUGUACCUUACCAAGUCGUUAGUAGAGUGUGUGUGGUUAACCGACACACUAAUAAGGACUAGUAAGAGUGGCAAAGGGUAACUUAAGUUUAUCAUAGAUCGGUGGAGCGUGUGUGGUUAAACGGCACAUCGAUUAGGUGAUAAAUAUUAAGGGUACCAAGUAUAUUUGCAUGGUUAUUCACACCUUGUUUGUGAUCCUCGGCAUCCCAGUCAGAAACUUGAGAGGGCACAAUCGAGAUUCAAACAUGCCAUUGAAAGUUCAAUGUAUCUCAAAAGAUCUAGGAGUUUCAAAUCUAAUUAAAACUUAAUUAUAUUUCAUUUUGAUGGUGGAAAUUGGUAAAUCGUCAUUUACCUACCUUCAACUAUUUUAUAACUUGGAUUACGACAUCCCUCUUCCAGUUAUAAAUAUGUUGUUGGGUCCUAGCCUUAAUAUUUCAUAUUGGGUGUCAUAUUAACGACUUUAAAUCAACUAAACUUGAAUUUCUCCCAUUAUAGAUGUCUUGUUAAGACAUCUAUGGUCUUUCCAAAUCCUUAGGAACAAGCUUCCUAAUGAAGAUGAUAUCCUAAAUGGCAAUCAAGGUGAAAGAUCAAUCCCUUAGUAGUGCAUGAAUGGGACUGGAAAUCAUGCUUCACUUCCUCCACCUACUCCAAUAAAUCUUCCUAUCCCACAAGUUUCAAGACUUGAUAAGUUCUAAGUCACUCAAUCCCCAUUGGAAAGCAAAGUAUAUAUGUGUUUACAUCUUAGAGGUUAAGUCACAUAUUGACAAGUCGAGAGAGUCAGGUGUCGAAGUCUCGAGGUAGUUGGCUAUUGACUUGGUUCUUUAGUCACUCCUUGAUGACAGAUCACGACAUGACCCUUAAUGAUCUUACCUAUUUGCUUAAUGAUGCUUAAUCAACAAUGAUUUGGAGAAUUAUUAAAGCAAAUUAGAUUGGAAGAUCUACUUCCUAAACCUAUUUGGACAUUGACAAUGGUGACAUUGGAAGUCCAGAAAACUUUCUCUUCCCAAUUGAAAGGGAUCGGCCAUGGUCAAGUCGUUUGACCUAAUGGUAAGGAGAAAGUCUAAAUCUGUGAUAGUCCCGUAUACCAUUUCAAAAGAGUCCAUAUAUUUCUUUUUCCAAUAAAAGGGACAUUGGUUGCGAAAUUGCCCAAUUAACCUGAAAUUUCAUAAGGAAGGUAAAGUCAAAAGGUUUGACUUUGCUUCUGGUAAACUCCAUUAUCUAACUCUAUUAAGUAUUUUUUUGAGAUUAUUAAUACAUAAUGUAAUCUAAUUACAUUUUGAUGUUUUAGAAAAUCAAAGGAAGCUUAAAGAAAGAGUAUGCUUAUUCUGAUCGCGAAAAUGGUUCGGUGAUCAGAAUUUUGAGCAACUGCUUAAGAGUUACGAUAGAUUGCUUAGGAAUAGAUAUCAACAUAGUUUUCAUAUGCAUUUUCAUGGAAAGGAUAAGAUUUUUCCGCAAGUUUUAAAAUAAAAAAAUGUUUUAUUUAUUUAUUUUAAGUAUCCUUACAAUGACAUUUGUGAAAAGAUUGUUGUUUAUAUGUUCCCAUUGAUAAGCAAUAUUGGUAAAUGGAUUGGAUUCUUUCAUUUGUGGUAUUGUCAUAAUUUACCAAAUAAGGAAAGAUUCUCAUCACCCAAGAUUCAAUUGGAUAGAAACUUGGAAUCAUGAAAGUUGUAUUGUGUGAUGAAUGUGAAUUUUCAUCUUUAGGAAAUUAAGACUAAGACCUUGUUCACAUGUAUGUGUGAGUCAAGUGAAGGACUAAAGGAUUGGGUACACUUAAUUGUGUGCUGGUCAGGUCCUCCACAAAGGUUGAUAAGAUUAUUCGUUAUGAUUUACUAAAGUUUAGUAAAUAUGGUUAUGCUUACAAGUUUAAGAGUAAUUCUGAAACAUUGGAAAAGUUUCAAUGUAUGACAGAAUGGAUAAGAAGAACCAAAUAAGGCAGGAAGAUAAAAGUUUCUCCAAUCUGAAGAGAUGGGAGAGUACUUAAGUAUCUUGUUUUAUGAUUAUCUUAGUGAUUAUGAAACCAUAUCACAAUUGAUCCUCUAAGGACACCUUAGUUCAUUUGUUUGGCUAAGGAGAGGAAUCAUGAAUGGUUGAAAUGGUUAAAUCAAAAGAUAAAUCAUACUUCGUUCCAAAUCAAAUCUUAGAGUAAUACUCCAAGAUUGAGCGUUAAGUGAUGUAAUCUUAAGAAACGUUUAAAACACUUGUCAAAUGUAGAGUAAAAUGUUUUCUUACUCUUGUACAUUUGAAGUGGGUAAGUUGUGAUGUUUUGGAUACAAUAAAGACCAACUACGGCUAAUUGUGUGAAGUGUUUGUCUUGAUUAGAAUCCACACUAUCUCUUAAAUAUUUGGAAAGAGAGUCUUAUAUGUCAAGAGGACAGUGGGAGUCUAAAAAAUCCUGAAAUAAUUUCAAGAACUAAUCAAGAGUAUUGUUAAUCACUAGCCCACGAGCUUCAGUCCAUAUGUGUUUGGAUUUGCCACUGACCUUGUCUUGUGAUUAUGGUUAUGAAAAAUUCACAUGGAUAGGAACUCUUACACCACAUAAAAUCUAAGUGUCAUAAGGUUUCUCUCCGAUUCAUGAAAAUGAUGGUGAGGAAACGCUUUCACUAAGUAGAUUUUAAGUAGAUAGAAAUUGUGAUAUUUGCCUUCUCAAAGUCGUUAGUGGAGCGUGUGUGGUUAACCGGCACACUAACAUGGACUUGUGAGAAAUGGCAAAGGUCUAAACAAUUGAGACUAUGAUUACGACAUCCCUUUUCAUAGUUCUGAAAUUGUUUAGACACACAUGUGAGCUAUCUAAGGAAAGGUGUAUGAUUUUGAUAAAGUUUUAUCAAAGCAUCUCGUAUCAGAAAUCUAAACUUUGGUAAGAAAGUCAAUAAAGUAUUGUUUUUUUUUUCUAGAAGUCCAGCUGAUUUCUGAGUAGAUGUCAAAGCUAGUGCGAGCAUAAGUGUUAUGCUAGUAAGAUAAUAAUCAUUAUGCUAGUGGGAGCAUGAUGAUUAUGUUGCAAGUUAGCAAUGUUAAUUAUAGAAAACAAAAGUUUCAAUUCACUUUGAAAAGUUGUUUUCCUAUAAAUAAGGGAGAGGAUUUUAUAAUUCAUUCCAAUUCUACAAGCUUAGAUUGAGAUUUUAAUCAAAUUUAGUCAAGGAUAUAUAUGAAUGUUAUGUUGGAAUGGUUCAACAUAAGGAAAUUCUAUAUAUGUUGUGUUCUCAAAAUUCGAUUAUGAUUAUGACAUACCUCUUCAUAGUUCGAAUUGUGAGAACAUGGCAAAUAAAAAUUUUAUAGCAUGAAUCAUGUCCCUUAUGUUUUGGGUAUAGGCUUGAUUACAUGUGCUAUAAUAUUUAUCCGUUUUAAAUUUUCCAAAUGCCUAGGACAUUAGGAAGGAAAAAGGAAUAGAACUGGAUACGACUAAAAUGAUUAAGCAAUUGUCGAGGACAAUCUGAGAUUUACCAAAGAGUGGUUGCUUAUGGACAAUUGGAAGUAUAUGGUUAGGACCAUAUUGACAUAUUCUAAAAAUAGGCAACUCUUGUUUAGAAGUAAUAGUCAAAAUGGUAAUGUGGAAUUGUUUCCAUAGGUGGAAGUUAUUCUUUGAAUUUGUGUAAGAUUAGAAAACUUAAUGCAAAGAAGGAUGUUCAAAGGAAUGUACUUUGAAUCUGAGACUUCAUUACCAUGGAGUUGCUUUCCAUUUGAAUACUCUGUAAUGUCUGUUGCCGAGUCUUUGUGACUUUUGUGCAUAGUCAUUACAAGGGGAUCAUUGCAUAUGAGUUUAGAAUCUAACAGAUUACAAUAAAUAACAAGAGUUUGGUAUUCUUACAUUUAAAAUAAGGAUUGGAAUUGUGAAACAAACAUCAUUAAAAUAUUGUCAAUUGAUCUAUUUCACAAAGAGAAGACCAUAUGUAAACAUAGUGUGCAUACUUGGAGUAUGGCAUAGCUAUUGUUUGGACGAACAUAGUAUGCAUGCUUGGUGCAUGGCAUGCCAAUUGUUUCAAUUCAAGUAUUAAGUUGAUAAAUUAAAACAAUGAAUAACGAGUAAUAUAUAUGGUGCUUAGAUAAAAGGGUUUUUAUUUACACUCAAGAGUUUGGGACCAUAUAGGAUUAAGUAUUAUUCUUGUGUUUCACUUUGCAUGUUUUGACUUCCAGAAUAACUAGGUCAUUCUUGCCGAAUGACUAAGUUAUUCAAACUCUCCACAGUCAAUCAUACUUUGGAAGUAGGUAUUGAUUUAAGACUGUCAUGAAUCUGGCUUGUAAGAUUUGUCUAAUGUGCAUUAGACAUAGCAAUGGUUGCUACAACAUUCGUGAGUGCUCAUAAGUUUUGAGUAUUGGAUUCAACCCACACUCAUUUGGAUUCACUUCAUGGAUUUUAUCACGAGUGAAUCAUGAGACGAUAAUAUCUUAUAUUCUUCAAACCUAGAGAUAUGAGUUGUUGACUAUGAGUUGGUUCUACAUUGAUUGCACGAAAACGCAUUGGUAACUUGACGUUAUAAAACGUGCCUUUGUGUAUGAUUCAACAAGUAGUCAGUACAAGCAUAUGAGUCGAAGUUUAUCCAUUCCUUUUACCCUUAAGGGGAUAAACGCAAUAUUUGUGGGCUCCUCGAUGAUUUAGUGAUGGCACCCCUAAGUGCUUGGCCAAGCCUGGACUGAUUUGAUUUGUUCAAUCAGUCGGUUGUCAUAAAUCGGAAAUCGGGAAACAAUAAAUGGACAGAGAGAAUGAUUAUAUUCCAUGUCUCAGUCCAUAUGAUAUCUAGAAUGGAGGAAUAUAUGAUCACUUAUUUAAUGGACGCAUCAUUCAUUUGUUCAGACUUCGGCAACAGCUUUUAAGAGCUACGAUUGCUGGUCAGGUUGUGAAGUUAUACUUGCAAUAAUAGUUAUUAGACUUCUCCAAGUAGGAGAUUGUUGGAUUAAUGUAUAAGUCCAUAACUAUAAUUGGUAAGUUAUACUUGCAAUAAUAGUUAUUAGACUUAUUCAAGUGGGAGAUUGUUGGACUAGUGUCUAAGUCCAUAACUAUAAUUGGUAUAUACUUGACCCGACCCGGCAUGGUCCAUUUGGGUUGCAUAGCGUCAGAACAUUUGGGUAGACCUUUUAAUGAGAAGAAGAUAUUUGUGACAUAUUAAUAUAUUAUAAGUUCUAAUAUAUUAAUAUGAAAUCAUAUUAUUUAAUUAGUAUUGAUGAAUAAUUAAUUUGGAAUUAAUUAACUGAUCAAAAACAGACUAAUUAAAUAUAUGGGGAUUGAUUGUGUAAAUCAUUGAUUCUUAUAUAUGUGGGCUUAUGAUCCAUGAUUCCUUAUGUUGGGUUUAACCCAUGUGGUGGCCCAUGGAUACUCCAUGGAGGUUAAAACCCAUGGAGCAUAAGGAAUGGGUAAAGUCAUAGGUUACAUGGUGUAACCCUAAUGUGUACACUAUAUAAAGACCCCAUUGGUUGGUGAAAUUGGCACUAGUGUAUACACAAGAGGGAAAGCCAAUUUCUAUGCACUCAUAUCUUCUCUCAUGGUUAUUCCAAGUUGUUCAUGGUGUUGUGUGAACCAUUUGAGGUGUCACAUUUGGGGCACUAGGCUCUUGAGCUCCAUGGAAUCAAGCACCAAUAAAGAGGUAUGUAAUUCUACUAGUUUUUAUAUUAUAUGUACUUUAUAUUAUGCUAGUUAGAACAAUACCUUGGAAAAUUGAUAUUUGCAUGUAUAAUAGAGAAAACAUAGAUCCAAUGUAUUUAGGGUUGCAUGUACACCAUAGGAGUGUUAGAAUGCUCAAAACCCAACGGUUUCAUCACUUUCCCUUAUUAGGGUUUAAGAAUUCUGAACAUAC
Molecule: long non-coding RNA, 7298 nt
Filed under: Lactuca sativa (garden lettuce)
Lineage: Eukaryota; Viridiplantae; Streptophyta; Magnoliopsida; Asterales; Asteraceae
Description: long non-coding RNA (LSAT_LNC007563)
Source: RNAcentral